This is a long non-coding RNA of Xenopus laevis (African clawed frog), 342 nucleotides long. RefSeq lists it as uncharacterized. Lineage: Eukaryota; Metazoa; Chordata; Amphibia; Anura; Pipidae. The transcript has 3 exons. The record is from RefSeq and is a predicted model, not a curated record.
UCCAGAGACAAAACCAACAACAUAGUCCGGCAGCAGGUCUACCCCAGCAGCAUGUGUGUUGUCUUCCCCAGCUCUGGAAAAAGGGGGUGAUGCUAUGACCCAAAAUUAUACAUAAAGUAAACAUGGAGGAUAUAUAAGGGAAAGGACUCCUCUAAGCCACACCUCCUCUAAAGAAAGCACCCAAUGGCAUGAAACGCACAAGGAGUAUGGGGACCACGUGGCACUAAGAUGUACCUGUAUGUCGUUUGGUAUGGGCCACCAUCAGGGAGGCACAUGGGGUACUGUUGUACCGGGCCUAAAAGCUGUGCCGAAGAGCCGAAGUCCUGGAGAGCUGAAGUUCUG